UAGCUUGCUACCUGACCUAGCGGCGGACGGGUGAGUAAUGCUUAGGAAUCUGCCUAUUAGUGGGGGACAACAUUCCGAAAGGAAUGCUAAUACCGCAUACGCCCUACGGGGGAAAGCAGGGGAUCUUCGGACCUUGCGCUAAUAGAUGAGCCUAAGUCAGAUUAGCUAGUUGGUGGGGUAAAGGCCUACCAAGGCGACGAUCUGUAGCGGGUCUGAGAGGAUGAUCCGCCACACUGGGACUGAGACACGGCCCAGACUCCUACGGGAGGCAGCAGUGGGGAAUAUUGGACAAUGGGCGAAAGCCUGAUCCAGCCAUGCCGCGUGUGUGAAGAAGGCCUUUUGGUUGUAAAGCACUUUAAGCGAGGAGGAGGCUACUUGGAUUAAUACUCUAGGAUAGUGGACGUUACUCGCAGAAUAAGCACCGGCUAACUCUGUGCCAGCAGCCGCGGUAAUACAGAGGGUGCGAGCGUUAAUCGGAUUUACUGGGCGUAAAGCGUGCGUAGGCGGCUUUUUAAGUCGGAUGUGAAAUCCCUGAGCUUAACUUAGGAAUUGCAUUCGAUACUGGGAAGCUAGAGUAUGGGAGAGGAUGGUAGAAUUCCAGGUGUCGCGGUGAAAUGCGUAGAGAUCUGGAGGAAUACCGAUGGCGAAGGCAGCCAUCUGGCCUAAUACUGACGCUGAGGUACGAAAGCAUGGGGAGCAAACAGGAUUAGAUACCCUGGUAGUCCAUGCCGUAAACGAUGCCUACUAGCCGUUGGGGCCUUUGAGGCUUUAGUGGCGCAGCUAACGCGAUAAGUAGACCGCCUGGGGAGUACGGUCGCAAGACUAAAACUCAAAUGAAUUGACGGGGGCCCGCACAAGCGGUGGAGCAUGUGGUUUAAUUCGAUGCAACGCGAAGAACCUUACCUGGUCUUGACAUAGUAAGAACUUUCCAGAGAUGGAUUGGUGCCUUCGGGAACUUACAUACAGGUGCUGCAUGGCUGUCGUCAACUCGUGUCGUGAGAUGUUGGGUUAAGUCCCGCAACGAGCGCAACCCUUUUCCUUAUUUGCCAGCGGGUUAAGCCGGGAACUUUAAGGAUACUGCCAGUGACAAACUGGAGGAAGGCGGGGACGACGUCAAGUCAUCAUGGCCCUUACGACCAGGGCUACACACGUGCUACAAUGGUCGGUACAAAGGGUUGCUACCUAGCGAUAGGAUGCUAAUCUCAAAAAGCCGAUCGUAGUCCGGAUUGGAGUCUGCAACUCGACUCCAUGAAGUCG
RNAcentral lists this ribosomal RNA (1257 nucleotides) under uncultured Acinetobacter sp. Its description in RNAcentral is "bacterial SSU rRNA". It matches the Rfam family "Bacterial small subunit ribosomal RNA", at positions 76 to 1328 of the family's 1533-position model. The record is from RNAcentral. Lineage: Bacteria; Pseudomonadati; Pseudomonadota; Gammaproteobacteria; Moraxellales; Moraxellaceae.